CAGUGGCGCAAUUGGUCAGCGCGCGGUACUUAUACACAGUAACCUGCGAAGCAAUGCCGAAGUUGUGAGUUCGAGCCUCACCUG
Molecule: transfer RNA, 84 nt
Filed under: Gasterosteus aculeatus (three-spined stickleback)
Lineage: Eukaryota; Metazoa; Chordata; Actinopteri; Perciformes; Gasterosteidae
Rfam family: tRNA
About the family: Transfer RNA (tRNA) molecules are approximately 80 nucleotides in length. Their secondary structure includes four short double-helical elements and three loops (D, anti-codon, and T loops).
Source: Rfam by way of RNAcentral